AGCAGCCGCGGUAAUUCCAGCUCCAAUAGCGUAUAUUAAAGUUGUUGCAGUUAAAAAGCUCGUAGUUGAAUUUCGGGGUCAGUAGGUUGGUCGUGCCACGGGUAUGUACUGGUCUCACUGAUUCCUCCUUCCUGAUGAACCGUAAUGCCAUUAAUUUGGUGUUGCCGGGAAACUGGAACUGUUACUUUGAAAAAAUUAGAGUGUUUAAAGCAGGCUAACGCUUGAAUACAUUAGCAUGGAAUAAUGAAAUAGGACGUUCGAUCUUAUUUUGUUGGUUUCUAGGAUUGACGUAAUGAUUAAUAGGGAUAGUUGGGGGCAUUAGUAUUCAAUUGUCAGAGGUGAAAUUCUUGGAUUUAUUGAAGACUAACUACUGCGAAAGCAUUUGCCAAGGAUGUUUUCAUUAAUCAAGAACGAAAGUUAGGGGAUCGAAGACGAUCAGAUACCGUCGUAGUCUUAACCAUAAACUAUGCCGACUAGGGAUCGGAUGAUGUUAAUUUUUUAAUGACUCAUUCGGCGCCUU
Molecule: ribosomal RNA, 520 nt
Filed under: uncultured Glomeromycotina
Lineage: Eukaryota; Fungi; Glomeromycota
Description: SSU rRNA
Rfam family: Eukaryotic small subunit ribosomal RNA
Source: RNAcentral